UAGGGAAUAUUGGACAAUGGGGGCAACCCUGAUCCAGCCAUGCCGCGUGAGUGAAGAAGGCCCUCGGGUUGUAAAGCUCUUUUGUCCGGAAAGAAAAGCUUCGGGUUAAUACCCCGGGGUUCUGACGGUACCGGAAGAAUAAGCACCGGCUAACUUCGUGCCAGCAGCCGCGGUAAUACGAAGGGUGCAAGCGUUACUCGGAAUUACUGGGCGUAAAGCGUGCGUAGGUGGUUGUUUAAGUCUGAUGUGAAAGCCCUGGGCUCAACCUGGGAAUGGCAUUGGAAACUGGGCAGCUAGAGUGCGGUAGAGGGUAGUGGAAUUCCCGGUGUAGCAGUGAAAUGCGUAGAGAUCGGGAGGAACAUCUGUGGCGAAGGCUACUGCCUGGACCAGCACUGACACUGAGGCACGAAAGCGUGGGGAGCAAACA
Molecule: ribosomal RNA, 427 nt
Filed under: uncultured bacterium
Lineage: Bacteria
Description: bacterial SSU rRNA
Rfam family: Bacterial small subunit ribosomal RNA
Source: RNAcentral